This 130-nucleotide non-coding RNA is filed under the name Ditylum brightwellii. Lineage: Eukaryota; Bacillariophyta; Thalassiosirophyceae; Lithodesmiales; Lithodesmiaceae. The record is from RNAcentral.
UAAAUAAACAAUGACUUUUCUUUUCCCUUUUGUAUAGAAUUACUUGUCUAGUAAUAUCCUUUAUGCUGACUGAUACAAAGACAGAAAAAAAUUGUUGUAUCUCUUGAAGUAAGCAUUGUUUGCAGGCGUG